This 492-nucleotide ribosomal RNA is filed under the name uncultured bacterium. Its description in RNAcentral is "partial 16S ribosomal RNA". It matches the Rfam family "Bacterial small subunit ribosomal RNA", at positions 30 to 507 of the family's 1533-position model. The record is from RNAcentral.
AUUGAACGCUGGCGGCAUGCUUUACACAUGCAAGUCGAACGGUAACAGGCCUUCGGGUGCUGACGAGUGGCGAACGGGUGAGUAAUGCAUCGGAACGUACCCAGAGGUGGGGGAUAACGCAGCGAAAGCUGUGCUAAUACCGCAUGUGAUCUGAGGAUGAAAGCGGGGGACCGAGCAUCAAUGUUUGGCCUCGCGCCUUUGGAGCGGCCGAUGUCGGAUUAGCUAGUUGGUGGGGUAAAGGCCUACUAAGGCGACGAUCCGGAGCUGGUCUGAGAGGACGACCAGCCACCCUGGGACUGAGACACGGCCCAGACUCCUACGGGAGGCAGCAGUGGGGAAUUUUGGACAAUGGGCGCAAGCCUGAUCCAGCAAUGCCGCGUGCGGGAAGAAGGCCUUCGGGUUGUAAACCGCUUUUGGCAGGAACGAAACGGUGUCCGCUAAUACCGGGCGCUAAUGACGGUACCUGCAGAAUAAGCACCGGCUAACUACGUG